ACAUACGACCAUAGGGUGUGGAAAACAGGGCUUCCCGUCCGCUCAGCCGUACUCAAGCCACACGCCGGUGAGUUAGUAGUUGGGUGGGUGACCACCAGCGAAUCCUCACUGUUGUAUGUUU
RNAcentral lists this ribosomal RNA (121 nucleotides) under Penicillium egyptiacum. Lineage: Eukaryota; Fungi; Ascomycota; Eurotiomycetes; Eurotiales; Aspergillaceae. The record is from RNAcentral.